AGAUUGAACGCUAGCGGGAUGCUUUACACAUGCAAGUCGAACGGCAGCGCGGACUUCGGUCUGGCGGCGAGUGGCGAACGGGUGAGUAAUAUAUCGGAACGUGCCCAGUAGCGGGGGAUAACUACGCGAAAGCGUGGCUAAUACCGCAUACGCCCUACGGGGGAAAGGGGGGGAUUCUUCGGAACCUCUCACUAUUGGAGCGGCCGAUAUCAGAUUAGCUAGUUGGUGAGGUAAAGGCUCACCAAGGCGACGAUCUGUAGCUGGUUUGAGAGGACGACCAGCCACACUGGGACUGAGACACGGCCCAGACUCCUACGGGAGGCAGCAGGUGGGAAUUUGGACAAGUGGGGGAAACCCUGACUCCAGCCAUCCCGCGUGUCGCGAUGAAGGCCGUUCGGGUGUAAAGACUACGUU
RNAcentral lists this ribosomal RNA (414 nucleotides) under uncultured soil bacterium. Its description in RNAcentral is "bacterial SSU rRNA". It matches the Rfam family "Bacterial small subunit ribosomal RNA", at positions 26 to 439 of the family's 1533-position model. The record is from RNAcentral.